Molecule: long non-coding RNA, 1828 nt
Organism: Sitophilus oryzae (rice weevil)
Lineage: Eukaryota; Metazoa; Arthropoda; Insecta; Coleoptera; Curculionidae
Exons: 8
Source: RefSeq, a predicted model, not a curated record
AACAAAUUUUCUAGUUAAAUAUAAAAUAUACGAUCCAUAUAAUAUAUUUAAUAACGAAUUUUUAAUAUAAUAUAUCUACAAUUCGUAUUUUUCAGCUUAAUCUUUGAAGACAAUACAAUAAGACGUAACAUUUUUUAUUACAGAUUCAGAUAGGUAAUAAUACAAUAAAGUUUUCUUAUGAAGAUAAGAAAGGAGAAUACAUCAAGUAAAAUGGAAAGAAGUAAGAUUUUUUUUUGGGAAAAUGUCUAUGUGUACAUGUAUAGAAUUUGGUAAGAAAUCCUCACCGAUUCUACCCUGCUUUUCAAUAGAGGUGUGGGCCGAGAAAGAGUAAUGCUGGAGCAACAAAAUUAGCAUCCUGUUGAAAAAACGAAUGCGCGAGAUUUUGUUUGCUUAUAAUUGUUUCCUUCAAUUCAUUUGUGCAAAUACCUCUUCAGAAAAUUAUACUUCCGAACAUUCAGGUCCAUGGAAGCUAUGCUGUACAUCCCAAAUCUGAUUUUUUCGAUGAUAUAAAGAUAAUUUUUUUCUUAAUUGUUGUUCCACACUGGUAGAAAUGUAUUAUUGUUAUGGGGAGAUGCAGUGAAUAAGGUUUUUUCUAUUGAUGUCCUCACUCUCACUUUUUAUAAGAUAUAGAGACAAUAGUAACAUGCAUUUUAAAAUAAUUUUGGAAUCAUACAAGACUUGGCUUAUUAACAAAGAAUAUAUAGGAAAAAGCGAAAAAUGACUUCUACAAAUGUGCAAUCAUUGAAGUCAAAGUAUAUAACCGUAACAAUUUUUGUUACUGAUGCAUAUAUGAAAUAAUACAUUGUUAAAAGCUGUUUAUGAAGAUAAAAUGGAGAAAACACCAUGAAAAAUGGAGAGAAAUAAUAUUUUCUUUUGGGAAGAUGUGUACUUGCAUAGAAUUUCAUAAAAAAAUCUCACAAUUGUACCCUACAAGUGUGGGCUAAGAAAAAGUAAAGCUGGAGUAACAAGAUCGGAAUCCUGUUGAAAAAACGGAUCCGCCAAAUGGUUUCUGCUUAUAAUUGUUGCCUUCAAAUAAUUUCUGCAAAUAUCUCUUCAGAAAAUUAUACUUCCGAACAUUCAGAUGCAUGGAAGCUAUGCUGUACAUCCCAAAUCUGCUUUUUUUGAUGAUAUAAAGAUCAUUUUAGUGGUUGUUCCAUGCUGGUAGAAAUGUAUUGUUAUGAGGAGAUGCAGUGAAUAAGGUUUUCUAUUGAUGUCCUCACUCUCAUUUUUUAUAAGAUAUAAAGACAAUAGUAGUAUGCAGUUUAAAAAUAAUUUUGGAACCAUACAAGACUUGGCUUAUUAACAAAGAAUAUAUAGGAAAAAGCGAAAAAUGACUUCUACAAAUGUGCAAUCAUUGAAGUCAAAGUAUAUAACCGUAACAUUUUUUGUUACAGAUGCAGAUAUGAAAUAAUACAGUGAUAAGAGCUGUUUAUGAAGAUAAAAUGGAGAAAACACUAAGAAAAAUGGAGAGAAAUAUGAUUUUCUUUUGGGAAGAUGUGUACUUGCAUAGAAUUUCUUAAGAAAAUCUCACAAUUGUACCCUGCAAGUGUGGGCCGAGAAAAAGUAAAGCUGGAGUAACUAGAUCGGAAUCCUGUUGAAAAAACGGAUCCGCCAAAUGGUUUCUGCUUAUAAUUGUUGCCUUCAAAUAAUUUCUGCAAAUACCUCUUCAGAAAAUUUAUACUUCCAAACAUUCAAAUCCAUGAAAGCUAUGCUGUACAUCCCAAAUCUGCUUUUUUCGAUGAUAUAAAGAUAAUUUUGAUGGUUUUUUCAUGCUGGUAGAAAUGUAUUGUUAUGAGGAGAUGCAGUGAAUAAGAACCAAGACUUUCCA